CCUGGCUUUCUGAGACCUUCCAAAGAUCAGUACUUUUGAGGGUAGUCCCAGAGCCGUCCCAGAAGAGCCAUAAACCCCAUGGUCCGGGAGUGAAAUCUGGCCACAGGAAUCAAGGAGAGCAGCUCUCUGGAUCACACACUGGAGUCAGACCACGGAUCACAGGUACUAGCAGCUGGAAAAACACGCACAUAGUUCAUUUCAGAACUAGCAAAUUAGGCAGUUGGAUUUUGCAGUACAUCACAAGGACUUUGCUUGGUGCUUUCUUGCUUUCUAAAAAUUUAGGAAUUCCUCACUGAAAGCUUACACCUCAACAGUAAUCCAGUGCAGUAAGGGCACUAUGUGGGAGAGGGAUGCUGCUUCACAAUCCUUACCUAGAAAGACACUGGUAGGUCCUUGUGUGUGAGAGACAUAACAUUCUUUGUGCAUUCAUGAAACAUUCCAUCAGGAAGAAAUCAUGUAGUAAAUAAAAUCACAUUCACGUCCCGCUUAUUCCUCCUCCUACUUUUUUGUGAUCAAAAUUUGGAUGCUUAGGACUUAGCGGAAAGUCAAACAGAACGUUGAGAACGUGCAAGAAGAAUCAACACAGGGUUUCCUGAAAUGUACUCACAACUCAUCCAUGGAUGGAAGGGGUUGCAUACUACAUUAUCCCAUCUCCCUAGUUCUAUUGAGGCCCUACCUCUAUGGAGUUCUUGAGAUUAGGACAACCUCUCCGGGCACAGUGAAUAUCAUUUUAUGUCUGGAUUUGAUUAUCAAAAUUGAAGGAUAGUUAUGACGUGAUAGAGGAACAAGAGCUGAUCAGGAAAGAGGAAUUCAGCAAUUAAAUGGAACCUGCUUGACCUCUCUUGGU
Long non-coding RNA from Numida meleagris (helmeted guineafowl), 847 nucleotides. RefSeq lists it as uncharacterized. The transcript is spliced from 3 exons. The record is from RefSeq and is a predicted model, not a curated record. Lineage: Eukaryota; Metazoa; Chordata; Aves; Galliformes; Numididae.